AAGUUUGCGUGGGCGUGGGGUGGGAAGAGCAAGGAGGGGCUGUUCGAGCACCUGGGACCCGGGAUGAGAUGACAAGGGGGUUGGUGGGAGCCUGGGGGGCCCACUCUCUGAGGUUCGGUCCUUCCUGUCAGCUGAGCCCACAGUCUGGCCUCCGCGGCGAUACCAUCUCCUCAUUUCCGCAGGGGUGCGUGUGAGUUCCCUCCUCCUUGCCCCCAGCUGUGGGGCUGCUCCUCCUCUAAGCCACCCCCUCUGACAACCUUAUGGCCUCCAGAUGAGUGAAAAGGAAAAACCCUGGCAUUUUCCACUUCGUAGGUACCCUCUGACUCCUCAGGUCCUCACCACGAUGCUGGAAUAGAGGUAGGAUGCCCCCAUUGAUGAGAGAGGAAACUGAGGCCCAGAGAGGGGAGGGACUUGCCCAGGGUCACACCGUAAGGCUGAGCCUGGAUGAGGGGCUCAGGGCUCUGGACUGCUGGGGUCAGUGUUCUGGGGCUUUCCUCCCAGCCCUGCCCACCCUCAGCUUGGUCUUAGCUUCCACCUGCCGACAGAUGCUGUCAGAAAAUUCUGAGGCCCUGCUCUAAGAAAGUUAUACCGUGAGGCAGAAGUGUGCCAAUUGCCGGGAGGAGGGCCAAAACUGCUGUCUCCCGGGCACGGGGGACCUGGAGGAAACAGUAGUGGGAUAGGGAGGGAAACCGAGGCGAGUCAGGAACAUGGGAUUGAGCCCGGCUCUGAAGCCCCUAUGAUCCCAAGCAAGUCCCUGGGGCCCAGUAUUUUCAUCUGUGGACUACAUCUUAGUCCUGGCCCUGCACACCCUCACCUGCCACCCCCGGGCUGUCAACUGUCAAGCUGAAGGACUCAGCGGAAGCAGAAGUUUGCUGAGACCCGGAGGGGACCGACUUGCGGAAACAGAGCCUUGGUCAGUGUGACCCCCUCAUCGAGCCGCCUGGGUCCCAGCAUCACCGUUGUUGGGAUUGUGGGACAACUUCCCACAGCGCACCCAGACCCACCCAGGCUCCAGUAACUUCCAGCUGAGCCCCUAAGUUCCAGUAACUUCCUGCCCUCCAGAGGCAGAGUGUGGAGCAUGUGGAGGUCUUCUCUUGCCUGGCCCGUGAGGUCCAAGAAAACCAGAGACGGACACACCCAUGAAUGGAGAGACAGAGAAAGAGAGACUGGCAGAGACAGAGACAAGAAGCAGAGAUGGAGAUCCAAACCAACUGGAGAGAGUGACAGAGGGAAGGAGACAAGGAAACCCAGAAGCAGGGAACUCCGGAGAGGGACAGAGAUGGACAGAAGAGAAACAGAAACCCGACAGUGAGAAAGAAGCAAUGCAGAGAAAGACCGAGAUGGACGGACCGACAGAGAAUGAAGGGCAGUGCGGAAGGCACCCUGCACUCACUGAACUUUCUGCUGGCUUUCUUGGGCCCUUCCGUCAUCUUGAUGUGGAAACUGAGGCUCCCUGAAAGUCAGCUUACCUGGAAUUAGGACCUACUUGUCCAGCUAUGGAGCCUGCGGUCCUAACUGCCACUCUACAGCUCCGGAAACCUCCUGGCAGCUGGGUGAUGGGUCCUGGUAGGGGAGGCGUCUGACUGAACCUUCUUAAUGGCAUGAGGGGGAAACCGAGGCCUUGAGGGGAAAAGGGACACAGCCUGAGAGAUCAAGACAUCAGAGUCCUACUCACAGACAGACCUGGAUGGGAACAGUGUCCAAAGUUCAGAUGAAAGAAUGAGGUUUCUCAGUCAUGGAUUUAGGAAGAGAAGGUCCUUCUACUGAGCCGUGACCACGAACCAGGCAUGGAGGUGAAAGCCUCCACAGAGCGUCCAUUGAGUCCCUACAACCGACCUGUGAGGUGAAUGCUGCUACUGUCCCAUUUCACAGAUGAGGAAACUGAGGCUAAAGGGGAGCAGAGACUAGACACCCAGCUGUCUUAGCUCCCAGGCCGGUGCUCCCUCCCACCUCGUUGUCAGAGAGAAGGGCCUCUGGCUUCCUCGUGGAAGGCAGAGCGUGGCCCCCUGACUUCUCUCCCAGGAGGCUAGUCCCAGCGACUUGGGCCAAGUGCUGGGUUUCUGUCACUCCCGCCUCACUGUGUGACCCUUCAGAAGACACUUUACCUCUUUGGGUUUCAGUUUCUAUCUGUGAAAUAGGGUCAAAGAAGCACCCAUUUCCAGGGGUUGUUGGGAGGAUGAAAAGAGAAAAUGUGGGCCCAGGCUCUUGCGCUGUGGUCUCGGCAGCCCCUGGUGGUUGUUGCUGAGGGCCAGGAGUGGUUCAGGCCAGGGGCCGAUUGGCGCAGGCCCUGAAGACCCCAGGGGAGGGCACGGGCUGUGAGAGCUGGGAGCCCAGGCCACGGGGAGGCCAUGUUGCCAUGGCCAAUGUACAGCGUGAGCGCUAGGCCUGUGCGGGCCGUUGGCUCCGGGCGCCAGGGCGGUUGCGGCAUCCCUGGGAGAAAGAAUGGGGCUCAGUGUGGCGGCUCCACCAAGCUCAGAGCCCCCUUUGUGCUGCCUUGAGUGGCCGUUGGGAGAGCGGCUGGGGACCUGCUGGCGGGUGGCUGUCCCCCAGGCCCGCCUCAGCCCACGUUGGAGGCCAGCCCAGAGCAGCCCAUGCUCCACAGCCUUGAACACACAGUGCUUUCCUCCCUCCAGGCUUCUGCCCAGGCUGGACCCACACCCAGAAAGCCGCCCUUCCCUCCACUGGCUGGACGUUUUGCCUCUGUGGUCGGGGCUCCAGGUCCAGAUUGAGCCACAGUCCCUAGGGAACCCUCCUCUGGUUUCUGUCCCCUCCAUCCGGCCCUGUUCCCUCAGUCUGUGACUCCACUGCCCACAGUUUGGCCAGGUACUAUUAGGCCUUCAGUGUCACAGUCAAAGGCAUUGGACCCAGGCAAACCUGAGUUCAGACCCCAAGUGCAUGACCUUGGGCAAGUCAUGUCACUUCUCUGAGCCUUCGGCCAAAUGAGACCAACACAACCUCCCUCACACAAUCCUGUGGCAGUGAAAUAAAACACUUACACUGUAUCAUCCAUAUUA
Long non-coding RNA from Suricata suricatta (meerkat), 3014 nucleotides. RefSeq lists it as uncharacterized. The record is from RefSeq and is a predicted model, not a curated record. The transcript has 2 exons. NCBI's taxonomy places the organism in Eukaryota, Metazoa, Chordata, Mammalia, Carnivora, Herpestidae.